This 611-nucleotide ribosomal RNA is filed under the name bacterium 4746K6-B14. RNAcentral's name for it is "bacterial SSU rRNA". It matches the Rfam family "Bacterial small subunit ribosomal RNA", at positions 57 to 663 of the family's 1533-position model. The record is from RNAcentral.
GCAAGUCGAGCGGUAACAGAAAGUAGCUUGCUACUUUGCUGACGAGCGGCGGACGGGUGAGUAAUGCUUGGGAACAUGCCUUGAGGUGGGGGACAACAGUUGGAAACGACUGCUAAUACCGCAUAAUGUCUACGGACCAAAGGGGGCUUCGGCUCUCGCCUUUAGAUUGGCCCAAGUGGGAUUAGCUAGUUGGUGAGGUAAUGGCUCACCAAGGCGACGAUCCCUAGCUGGUUUGAGAGGAUGAUCAGCCACACUGGGACUGAGACACGGCCCAGACUCCUACGGGAGGCAGCAGUGGGGAAUAUUGCACAAUGGGCGCAAGCCUGAUGCAGCCAUGCCGCGUGUGUGAAGAAGGCCUUCGGGUUGUAAAGCACUUUCAGUCAGGAGGAAAGGUUAGUAGUUAAUACCUGCUAGCUGUGACGUUACUGACAGAAGAAGCACCGGCUAACUCCGUGCCAGCAGCCGCGGUAAUACGGAGGGUGCGAGCGUUAAUCGGAAUUACUGGGCGUAAAGCGUACGCAGGCGGUUUGUUAAGCGAGAUGUGAAAGCCCCGGGCUCAACCUGGGAACUGCAUUUCGAACUGGCAAACUAGAGUGUGAUAGAGGGUGGUA